This 384-nucleotide long non-coding RNA is filed under the name Phasianus colchicus (ring-necked pheasant). RNAcentral describes it as "lncRNA (ENSPCLG00000010812.1)". Lineage: Eukaryota; Metazoa; Chordata; Aves; Galliformes; Phasianidae. The record is from RNAcentral.
AUUCCUCUGUGGCAAUUAUUCUCCUCCCUGAUCUUGAGGGGAUGCUAGUUUGAAAGAGCCCUGUAUUUUUCCAUUCCUAUAGUUUAUUUACUGCCACUUCAUCUGGUACUCGUAGGAAGGCUGUAUGACUGUGGUAGCACAAGAAACGGUUCCUCCGGGGGAUAGAUGAGCUCCCCGAUAACAUCAUGCGGGAAACUUUAUGAAGCCCUUCAAACAGCCAGGUCUACACUGAAGCCGUUAUGUAGUGAGGAAUAUCUGAGAGCAGAAGUCCUGUGAAGCCGUAACUUGUGUCCGGGCUGCUACACUUCAAAAGCAUGGGCAGGAAGAAAAGGUAUGUUUUUUCUUUUUAACACAGUUUGGAAGCAGAUGAGUACUUAAUCUCUU